CGGUGGAUCACUCGGCUCGUGCGUCGAUGAAGAACGCAGCUAGCUGCGAGAACUAAUGUGAAUUGCAGGACACAUUGAUCAUCGACACUUCGAACGCACUUUGCGGCCCCGGGUUCCUCCCGGGGCCACGCCUGUCUGAGGGUCGCUUUCUCAUCGAUCGGGGCCUCCGGGUCCCGCGGCUGGAGCUUCGUAGGAGGGACUCUACCCUCCUCCGUCCUCCUAAGUGCAGACCGCCCCCGGGUCGCCUCCCGCCCGGCCUCACGGGCCCUCGCCCUUCCGGGGCGGCGCCUCGUCCGCUCGAGGACCGGAGGUCCUCCCCUCCGCGGCUGCCGGUGGGUCUGAACCCCCUCCGCUGCCCGCGCGACGGGGGCCUCCAACUCUCACCGCGGGCGGACGCUGUCUCCGUGUAGGGCGGGUCGCCUUUGGGUAUCCGGAGCGUGCGGGGGGGGCCCGACGGGCGAACCCGCUCGCUUAAGGCCAGCCUCCACUCCCCGGAGCGGAGCGGCCGCCACGACCCCAUCCGAUUACGACCUCAGGUCAGGCGAGAAAACCCGAGCCCAACAGAGCGGACUGGA
This 575-nucleotide ribosomal RNA is filed under the name Procypris rabaudi (rock carp). RNAcentral describes it as "eukaryotic LSU rRNA". The stretch from base 1 to 145 matches the Rfam family "5.8S ribosomal RNA". Lineage: Eukaryota; Metazoa; Chordata; Actinopteri; Cypriniformes; Cyprinidae. The record is from RNAcentral.